GACGAACGCUGGCGGCGUGCUUAACACAUGCAAGUCGAACGGUGAAGCGCCUUCCUUUUUGGUUGGUGUGGAUGAGUGGCGAACGGGUGAGUAACACGUGAGUAACCUGCCCCCUUCUUCUGGAUAACCGCAUGAAAGUGUGGCUAAUACGGGAUAUUCUGGGUCUGUCGCAUGAUGGGUCUGGGAAGGAUAUUGGUUCGGUGGGGGAUGGUCUCGCGGGCUAUCAGCUUGUUGGUGGGGUGAUGGCCUACCAAGGCGGGGGGGGGUCGCCGGCUUGGGCGGGUGGCCGGUCAGACUGGGUGUGGGGCACGGGUCAGACUCCGACGGGAGCCAGACGUGGAGAAUAGUGCGCAGUGGGGGAAAGCCCAAGGCGGCGGCGCGCCGUAAGGGAUAGCGGCCUUCGGGUGGUGAAGCUCUUCGGGCAGUGAAGCAGGUCCGCCUCGUUUGUAGGUGGGUUGACGGUAGCUGGAUAAGAAGCGCCGGCUAACUACGUG
Molecule: ribosomal RNA, 494 nt
Filed under: uncultured bacterium
Lineage: Bacteria
Description: partial 16S ribosomal RNA
Rfam family: Bacterial small subunit ribosomal RNA
Source: RNAcentral